Molecule: microRNA precursor, 181 nt
Filed under: Malus domestica (apple)
Lineage: Eukaryota; Viridiplantae; Streptophyta; Magnoliopsida; Rosales; Rosaceae
Description: miR172i stem-loop (mdm-MIR172i, mdm-MIR172j, mdm-MIR172k)
Gene: mdm-MIR172i
Rfam family: mir-172 microRNA precursor family
About the family: mir-172 has been experimentally verified in Arabidopsis thaliana.
Source: miRBase by way of RNAcentral
AGUCAGUAUUCGCGGGUGCAGCAUCAUCAAGAUUCACAUACAGGCAAGGGGGCUACCUUUAUCGAUCGAGUAAAUUGUUACCGCACCAAUAAGAAUAUUUCCUUCAACUUCCUUUUGUACUUGAAAGGUAGUUCCUUCGAAGUGGGAAUCUUGAUGAUGCUGCAUCAGCUGGUACAUGACU